Molecule: ribosomal RNA, 428 nt
Filed under: uncultured bacterium
Lineage: Bacteria
Description: bacterial SSU rRNA
Rfam family: Bacterial small subunit ribosomal RNA
Source: RNAcentral
AUUAGGAAUUAUGCGCAAUGGGCGAAAGCCUGACGCUGCAAUACCGCGUGGUGGAUGAAGGUCUUCGGAUUGUAAACACCUUUUAUAGCUGAACAAGUUCUGAGUGUAAGCUACGAAUAAGCAUCUUCUAACUACGUGCCAGAAGAAUCGGUGAUACGUAGGAUGCAAGCGUUAUCCGGAUUUACUGGGUGUAAAGAGACGCGUAGGCGACUUAAUAAGUCUUUGGUUAAAUCUCUCGGCUUAACCGAGAAAUUGCCAUAGAAACUAUCAAGAUUGAGGCAGAUAGAGGAAAAGGGAAUUCCUGGUGGAGCGGUGAAAUGUGUUGAUAUCAGGAGGAACACCAAUGGCGAAGGCACUUUUCCAUGUCUUGCCUGACGCUAAGGCUCGAAAGCGUGGGGAGCAAAACGGAUUAGAUACCCGGGUAGUCC